This 468-nucleotide ribosomal RNA is filed under the name uncultured bacterium. Its description in RNAcentral is "partial 16S ribosomal RNA". It matches the Rfam family "Bacterial small subunit ribosomal RNA", at positions 28 to 507 of the family's 1533-position model. The record is from RNAcentral.
GACGAACGCUGGCGGCGUGCUUAACACAUGCAAGUCGAACGGAAAGGCCCUGCUUUUGUGGGGUGCUCGAGUGGCGAACGGGUGAGUAACACGUGAGUAACCUGCCCUUGACUUUGGGAUAACUUCAGGAAACUGGGGCUAAUACCGGAUAGGAGCUCCUGCUGCAUGGUGGGGGUUGGAAAGUUUCGGCGGUUGGGGAUGGACUCGCGGCUUAUCAGCUUGUUGGUGGGGUAGUGGCUUACCAAGGCUUUGACGGGUAGCCGGCCUGAGAGGUUGACCGGCCACCUUGAGACUAAGAUAGGGCACGUACUCGUACGGGAGGCAGCAGUGGGGUAUAUAGCACAAUGGGCGAAAGCCUGAUGCAGCAACGCCGCGUACGGCAUGACGGCCUUCGAGUUAUAAACCGCUUUCGCCUGUGACGAAGCGUGAGUGACGGUAAUGGGUAAGGAAGCACCGGCUAACUACGUG